UUCGACCCGACCGGAAUCAUUCAUUGGUUUGAAAUUUAUUUAAUCCCUAUGAAAAGUACAUAUUCUAAACCCGUCUAGUUAAAUCAAAAAUUAAGUUUCAAUUUAAGUUAAUUUAUAGGUAAUGUUUUUAGAUAGAUUUUUUUAUUUCAAUUCGAUUUCAGAUUGAUUAUAUAAGGAAAUAUCUAUCAAAUAAAAACUCUUAACAAAAUCUAAACAACUCCGCUAAUUGGUUUUAAAAAAUCGAGUCAUAUACCACGCAAUCAUUCCUACAAAUAAGGUAAUUACUAGAUAUUGUAGUCUUAAUAUUCUCUAAACUAUAAAAUCUCCAUUCAUAUCUACAAUAUAUGUUACUUAACGCUGCCGGAGCGGCAGCUACGAAGUAAAACGACAUAUCAUGAAAAGUAACAACUAAGUAAAAAACGAUACCAAAACUCGAAAAUAACAGAUUUAGAUGAUUCGCGGAUGAAUGGUGAUGAGUACCAACGACAUCAGAUGAGUCGCUG
Molecule: small RNA, 503 nt
Filed under: Arabidopsis thaliana (thale cress)
Lineage: Eukaryota; Viridiplantae; Streptophyta; Magnoliopsida; Brassicales; Brassicaceae
Description: ATSL205510
Source: RNAcentral